RNAcentral lists this ribosomal RNA (254 nucleotides) under uncultured bacterium. Its description in RNAcentral is "partial 16S ribosomal RNA". It matches the Rfam family "Bacterial small subunit ribosomal RNA", at positions 524 to 776 of the family's 1533-position model. The record is from RNAcentral.
UACGUAGGGGCCUAGCGUUGUCCGGAUUUAUUGGGCGUAAAGAGCUCGUAGGCGGCUCGGUUAGUCGGAUGUGAAAUCUCCACGCUCAACGUGGAGGCGCCAUCCGAUACUGCCGUGGCUUGAGUCCGGUAGGGGAGUGUGGAAUUCCCGGUGUAGCGGUGAAAUGCGCAGAUAUCGGGAGGAACACCCGUAGCGAAGGCGGCACUCUGGGCCGGUACUGACGCUGAGGAGCGAAAGCUAGGGGAGCGAACGGG